Molecule: long non-coding RNA, 206 nt
Filed under: Vigna radiata
Lineage: Eukaryota; Viridiplantae; Streptophyta; Magnoliopsida; Fabales; Fabaceae
Description: long non-coding RNA (VRAD_LNC004976)
Source: RNAcentral
AUAGUUCUUCUUUUGUAGAAAUGUAGUGUAGUUUAUUUUCAUAGUAAUAUGGUUCUUGUAAUUGGUUUAUGUACACAUUGUAACAUACAAUAAUUUAUAUGAAUACAUUGUCCAAAUGAUUAUUGGAAUAAUAUUAUUGACUUGAAGCUUUAUUUUGUACAAUGUAUAAAUGUUUGUUGAUUCAUGAUUGAUGUCCAGGUUUCUUA